GAAGUUAGCGCUCGGAGACAAAGGGGUCAGUUUACAUUUGGUUAUUGGCUGUUGGGGGAGUGGAGCAGAGGGAGCCAAUCAGAAGCCAGUGCUCGGAGACAAAGGGGUUGGUUUCCAUUCGGUUGUUGGCGGAGUGGAGCUGAGGGAGACGCGUCACAGCCUGGGAGGUGCCCAUUGACACUCAGACCGAAGACCCGUUCCAGGAUGGACGUGCUGAGAAGGUAUCUCAGGAGGAAGGUGGCCCCGGAGCCAGAGGGGACCAGCUGCCAGCGUCCCCAGACAGAGAGCUGCCCCUCCAUCCGCAUGGCAUGGGAAGCAGGCCCCGGCCACCCCAGGAGAUGGUCCUGCUCGGCCUUGCUCACUGGGAGGAAACCAGCCCCCAGGGCUGGUGCUGAGCAGAGAGAGACAACAUCCAGGCCGAGAUGGAGGUGGCCUAAGUUCAAUCUGGGCAGGCAGGACUCAGCCCAUGGCAGGAGCCAGGCAACGCAGCUCUGGGUUUGCUUCUGCUGGAAGGCCUGCCCUCAUCCCAGCUGUGUGGGCCAGCAGGAGGCAUUCCCAGGGCAGGAGCUGGGGGAUCGCUGCCUCAGCUGCUUAACUGUUGCCGGAGAGGAGAGCAGCUACUCUCUGGAGGUUCUCUGCAACACGGAGGCUGAGUGGUCCUCCACUGCAGCAAGAGUCACCCUCUGCCCUUGUCUCUCUGAUGCAGAGACCCCCACAGACCAGUCAGAGA
Molecule: long non-coding RNA, 730 nt
Organism: Mauremys reevesii (Reeves's turtle)
Lineage: Eukaryota; Metazoa; Chordata; Testudines; Geoemydidae
Exons: 3
Source: RefSeq, a predicted model, not a curated record